This 468-nucleotide ribosomal RNA is filed under the name uncultured bacterium. Its description in RNAcentral is "partial 16S ribosomal RNA". It matches the Rfam family "Bacterial small subunit ribosomal RNA", at positions 28 to 507 of the family's 1533-position model. The record is from RNAcentral.
GACGAACGCUGGCGGCGUGCUUAACACAUGCAAGUCGAACGGAAAGGCCCUGCUUUUGUGGGGUGCUCGAGUGGCGAACGGGUGAGUAACACGUGAGUAACCUGCCCUUGACUUUGGGAUAACUUCAGGAAACUGGGGCUAUUACCGCAUAGGAGCUCCUGCUGCAUGGUGGGGGUUGGAAAGUUUCGGCGGUUGGGGAUGGACUCGCGGCUUAUCCGCUUGUUGGUGAGGUAGUGGCUUACCAAGGCUUUGACGGGUAGCCGGCCUGAGAGGGUUACCGGCCACAUGGGGACUGAGAUACGGCCCAGACUCCUACGGGAGGCAGCAGUGGGGAAUAUUGCACAAUGGGGGGAAGCGUGAGGCAGCAACGCCGCGUGCGGGAUGACGGCCUUCGGGUUGUAAACCGCUUUCGCCUGUGACGAAGCGUGAGUGACGGUAAUGGGUAAAGAAGCACCGGCUAACUACGUG